AUAACACUUAGAAAUAGGUGCUAAUACCGCAUAAGCGCACAGAGCCGCAUGGCUCAGUGUGAAAAACUCCGGUGGUGUAAGAUGGAUCCGCGUCUGAUUAGCUGGUUGGCGGGGUAGAAGCCCACCAAGGCGACGAUCAGUAGCCGGCCUGAGAGGGUGAACGGCCACAUUGGGACUGAGACACGGCCCAAACUCCUACGGGAGGCAGCAGUGGGGAAUAUUGCACAAUGGGGGAAACCCUGAUGCAGCAACGCCGCGUGAGUGAAGAAGUCAUUCGUGAUGUAAAGCUCUAUCAGCAGGGAAGAAAAUGACGGUACCUGAGUAAGAAGCCCCGGCUAACUACGUGCCAGCAGCCGCGGUAAUACGUAGGGGGCAAGCGUUAUUCGGAUUUACUGGGUGUAAAGGGAGCGUAGACGGCCAGACAAGUCUGAAGUGAAAAUCCAGCGCUUAACGUUGGAAGUGCUUUGGAAACUGCCGGGCUAGAGUGCAGGAGGGGCAGGCGGAAUUCCUAGUGUAGCGGUGAAAUGCGUAGAUAUUAGGAGGAACACCAGUGGCGAAGGCGGCCUGCUGGACUGCAACUGACGUUGAGGCUCGAAGGCGUGGGGAGCAAACAGGAUUAGAUACCCUGGUAGUCCACGCGGUAAACGAUGAUUACUAGGUGUCGGGGGGCUAGAGCCCUUCGGUG
Molecule: ribosomal RNA, 685 nt
Filed under: uncultured bacterium
Lineage: Bacteria
Description: bacterial SSU rRNA
Rfam family: Bacterial small subunit ribosomal RNA
Source: RNAcentral